CUAAACACCAACAACAAACACUGGGAAUAAUGGACUUGUGCCUCAGACUGUGUCAGAUGUAUGUGCAGCCGAACCUCACACGUGGAGAGUGAAAGUCCAGUGUCAGGAAGAAGCUGUUAUGAGUUCUGAAUGCUCUACCAUCACUGCUCUACCUGAGGCCAGGCUUUUAUGACUGCCUGAUCGAUUAUGGUCUUGUUGUUAGCACCUCGCACACCCACAUAUCCAUCAGAACCUCGAUGGUUUGAGUUGAGGAUGGAGAGCAGAUCCUGGUAGAUGAUACUGUGUUAUUGUCACCUGUAACUUGAUGUCUCAACCUGACUUCAGUCUUGCUACUACUGUACUCUGGUAUGACAUCAGUGCCUCUACCCCCCUUGCUGCAGUGUUUAAACACCAUGCCUCACACCCAUGCACUAGAGGGGCCCCUCUUUACAGCACUUAACUUUACGGUGUUUCGCUAAUCCAGCGGUUUUCAGUUAUAGCCAUUCUUCAUUUAUUCAGACUUCCUACAAUAAAUAUAUUCCCUACUCACUAUAAGCUAAGGAUGAAAAUAUUUUAAGGUAAGUAAUGUGUGUACUGUAUAUGCAUUUUUUUAGUCCUGGCUAUAUUGUUCACUUAACCCUUUCAGGGUUUCAGCUGUACUAGUACGGCUUAUGCACCAGGGUUUUUGACGUACUAGUAUGCAUAAACUCUAGUGCCUUCAAAUCUCGUGGGAAAAGGCUGGUAGGCAUAGAUGUGAGAGAAUAGGUGUGUGUGGUCAGUGUGCAUGGUAGAAAAAAAAUCUGGGACCCAUUGGCGCAUUGUGUGAACGCCAUUUUAGUAGACCUUGUUCACCAUUCCUCUCGGUAAGAAGCUCCUCACUCCUCGGCGAAUUGGGACACUUUUGUUCCCCAGUGACAGUUCUAAUACAGAUGGAAGUGCCAGUGAAGAUGAGUUUCAAGGUUUUGGUGAGGUUGUGACCGAAACUAAUGACCAUAAUAUCGGUAAUAGUGAGGAAAACCCAGACGACCCUCAGCCUUCCACCUCUGCUGCUGGGCCGUCUUGUUCACGUUCAGUUGUACCAGAAUCAAAGAGGAAACUCCUAUUUUCCCAAAUCCCGGACUCAGAUGUGAGCAUUGGUGAUGAUAGUAAUAGUGAAUAUGAACUACAAGGUCUUGAAACCAGUUCCAGUAGUG
Molecule: long non-coding RNA, 1172 nt
Organism: Cherax quadricarinatus
Lineage: Eukaryota; Metazoa; Arthropoda; Malacostraca; Decapoda; Parastacidae
Source: RefSeq, a predicted model, not a curated record